AGAGUUUGAUCCUGGCUCAGGAUGAACGCUGGCGGCGUGCCUAACACAUGCAAGUUGAGCGAUUUACUUCGGUAAAGAGCGGCGGACGGGUGAGUAACGCGUGGGUAACCUACCCUGUACACACGGAUAACAUACUGAAAGGUAUGCUAAUACGGGAUAAUAUAUUUGAGAGGCAUCUCUUGAAUAUCAAAGGUGAGCCAGUACAGGAUGGACCCGCGUCUGAUUAGUAGUUGGUAAGGUAACGGCUUACCAAGGCGACGAUCAGUAGCCGACCUGAGAGGGUGAUCGGCCACAUUGGAACUGAGACACGGUCCAAACUCCUACGGGAGGCAGCAGUGGGGAAUAUUGCACAAUGGGCGAAAGCCUGAUGCAGCAACGCCGCGUGAGUGAUGAAGGCCUUCGGGUCGUAAAACUCUGUCCUCAAGGAAGAUAAUGACGGUACUUGAGGAGGAAGCCCCGGCUAACUACGUGCCAGCAGCCGCGGUAAUACGUAGGGGGCUAGCGUUAUCCGGAUUUACUGGGCGUAAAGGGUGCGUAGGCGGUCUUUCAAGUCAGGAGUGAAAGGCUACGGCUCAACCGUAGUAAGCUCUUGAAACUGGGAGACUUGAGUGCAGGAGAGGAGAGUGGAAUUCCUAGUGUAGCGGUGAAAUGCGUAGAUAUUAGGAGGAACACCAGUUGCGAAGGCGGCUCUCUGGACUGUAACUGACGCUGAGGCACGAAAGCGUGGGGAGCAAACAGGAUUAGAUACCCUGGUAGUCC
This 759-nucleotide ribosomal RNA is filed under the name Clostridioides difficile CD144. RNAcentral describes it as "bacterial SSU rRNA". It matches the Rfam family "Bacterial small subunit ribosomal RNA", at positions 8 to 796 of the family's 1533-position model. The record is from RNAcentral. Lineage: Bacteria; Bacillati; Bacillota; Clostridia; Peptostreptococcales; Peptostreptococcaceae.